AGAGUUUGAUCCUGGCUCAGAUUGAACGCUGGCGGAAUGCUUUACACAUGCAAGUCGAACGGCAGCAUAGAGAGCUUGCUCUCUGAUGGCGAGUGGCGAACGGGUGAGUAAUAUAUCGGAACGUGCCUAGUAAUGGGGAACAACUAAUCGAAAGAUUAGCUAAUACCGCAUACGACCUACGGGUGAAAGCAGGGGAUCUUCGGACCUUGCGUUAUUAGAGCGGCCGAUAUCUGAUUAGCUUGUUGGUAGGGUAAAAGCCUACCAAGGCAACGAUCAGUAGCUGGUCUGAGAGGACGAUCAGCCACACUGGAACUGAGACACGGUCCAGACUCCUACGGGAGGCAGCAGUGGGGAAUUUUGGACAAUGGGGGCAACCCUGAUCCAGCCAUUCCGCGUGAGUGAAGAAGGCCUUCGGGUUGUAAAGCUCUUUCACAAGAGAAGAAAUCUUACUAUCAAAUAAAUAGUAAGGAUGACGGUAUCUUGAGAAGAAGCACCGGCUAACUACGUGCCAGCAGCCGCGGUAAUACGUAGGGUGCGAGCGUUAAUCGGAAUUACUGGGCGUAAAGCGUGCGCAGGCGGUUUUAUAAGUCAGAUGUGAAAUCCCCGAGCUCAACUUGGGAACUGCGUUUGAAACUGUAAGACUAGAGUGUGUCAGAGGGGGGUAGAAUUCCAUGUGUAGCAGUGAAAUGCGUAGAUAUGUGGAGGAAUACCAAUGGCGAAGGCAGCCCCCUGGGAUAACACUGACGCUCAUGAACGAAAGCGUGGGGAGCAAACAGGAUUAGAUACCCUGGUAGUCCACGCCCUAAACGAUGUCUACUAGUUGUUGGUGGAGUAAAAUCCAUGAGUAACGCAGCUAACGCGUGAAGUAGACCGCCUGGGGAGUACGGUCGCAAGAUUAAAACUCAAAGGAAUUGAC
This 916-nucleotide ribosomal RNA is filed under the name marine metagenome. RNAcentral describes it as "bacterial SSU rRNA". It matches the Rfam family "Bacterial small subunit ribosomal RNA", at positions 8 to 914 of the family's 1533-position model. The record is from RNAcentral.